This 177-nucleotide ribosomal RNA is filed under the name uncultured bacterium. RNAcentral describes it as "partial 16S ribosomal RNA". It matches the Rfam family "Bacterial small subunit ribosomal RNA", at positions 1324 to 1500 of the family's 1533-position model. The record is from RNAcentral.
AGCUGGAAUCGCUAGUAAUCGCGGAUCAGAAUGCCGCGGUGAAUACGUUCCCGGGUCUUGUACACACCGCCCGUCACACCAUGGGAGCCGGAAAUGCCCGAAGUCAGUGACCCAACCGCAAGGAGGGAGCUGCCGAAGGUGGAGCUGGUAACUGGGGUGAAGUCGUAACAAGGUACC